CCUCUCGUAGUUUAGUGGUAAAAAAUUGGUGCGAAAAGCCAAAGGUCCUGGGGUCGAUUCCCGGUGGGGGUG
Molecule: transfer RNA, 72 nt
Filed under: Agrilus planipennis (emerald ash borer)
Lineage: Eukaryota; Metazoa; Arthropoda; Insecta; Coleoptera; Buprestidae
Rfam family: tRNA
About the family: Transfer RNA (tRNA) molecules are approximately 80 nucleotides in length.
Source: Rfam by way of RNAcentral